This is a non-coding RNA of Misgurnus anguillicaudatus (oriental weatherfish), 2548 nucleotides long. Lineage: Eukaryota; Metazoa; Chordata; Actinopteri; Cypriniformes; Cobitidae. The record is from RefSeq and is a predicted model, not a curated record.
AGGGUGACGAUCUUUUGGGCGGAACCAAAAGUUGGGAAAGUUUGGUUCCGCCCGGAUGUUUCCGCCCGGACCGGGAAGAGAAAACACCGGACAUCCGGUAGCAUCGCGAGGGCUGUAAUCAGCCAAACUACGUACAGCUGUGAGUUAUUAAGAGGAGCGCCGGGUGAUUGGACGAUGGCAACACCCAGGAGAGUAUUUAAGAGCAGUUUAAACCACAGUUUGGGUUCAUGUUGUUCCUGUUGUUGGUGUGUAUCGUAGCGCUGAGUUGGGCUCGCCUGUUACGCUUAUUGGAUCGCUGUACUUGCUCUCUCUCUCGUCUUGUAUCGUGGACUUAUGUUGAUGGAGAUACCGAAGACCUUAUAGGUUGAAGAGUAAACGGAUAUUGACAUUGGAUGAGAGAAACAAAGGAAGAAGAAACGUACCAUUGUGAGUAUACAUCUGUGGAAAAGUGGUGUUGGCGACUGGAAACCGCCCUGUCUAUGUAUCUGGAGUCAUUGCAGUAUGAAAUCAACAUAGGGGAACGUGGGACGAAGAAAGUGCAGUAGUCGUGAGUAACAGAAUCCAUUUAUGGAAGUGAAUUGCAUGUACUUGACCUGUAUAUCUUUUUGAGUGUUUCCAAGAGAGAGUGGGUGGCCCUACCCCUGAGUCAGCGUGGUGGGUGAGCCGAAGGGUCCUUGUGUUGAAACAGCUACAGUGACGAAAACAAACACUAGGCCGUGUUACCAUCUCCAUAUUCUCGCCCAGAGCGAAGUGAAGGAAGACGGGCGUCUAUUGUGUGCACUGAGCGUGGUGGGUGAGUCUUUGGAUGUAGAAAUUUUCACUUGAAGUGGUGCUGUGUAAUGCUGUGUAUUGCAGUGAGAUUGCUGUGUCUUGUCAGACGUACCCCCGCCUCCAGUCACUCGUCCCGGGACGACGAAGAGGAAAGCGGUUCUAGAGCAAACCUGUAUAUGAUUAUGCUAGCUAGAGGCGAAGGAGAUCCGCCGCCCCGAGGUCUCUACGAAGGGGCGCCCCGGUCCAGUUUUCAAUUGCCAAUGGGUGUCGAGGAAAGGGCAGCGCUCGACCCGGUGUGACGGCGUGACGUUCUCGCCCCUCUGUAGACCAACGAGCUCGCCGAGAGGGUUUGGUCCCCGGCGUCAUAUAGAAACCACUGUCCAGUUGACGCAUUGCGUAAGCCAGCUAUCGUAAGUCCGCCACCCUGUAAAGUACAGCAUAACCUGUUAAGUCUGCCGAUCAACAGGGACGAGGAGUGUGUUGUGAGAGCUGUGAAGAGAACCAUACCUACCCAGAAGCUGUAGUCAGCGAAGAGGUGAGAGAACCAAUUGAAAUCGAUUCACUGUGUCCCUGUGUCCCAGCUGUCGUCUGUGGAGAGAGAGAGAGCCAGCGUGAACGCUAAGAUACCGAGCUGUGAAGAGAACCAUACCUACCCAGAAGCUGUAGUCAGCGAAGAGGUGAGAGAACCAAUUGAAAUCGAUUCACUGUGUCUGUGUGUCCCAGCUGUCGUCUGUGGAGGAAUAGAGAGAACAAGUGUGAGCGCUGAGGAAACGAGCUGUGGAGGAAAGUCAUACUUACCAAUGAGCUGUAGUCAGCGAAGAGGUGAGAGAACCAUUUGAAAUCGAUUCACUGUGUCUGUGUGUCCCAGCUGUCGUCUGUGGAGGAAGAGAGAGAAUAAGCGUGAGCACUUAGGAAGCGAGCUGUGAAGGAAAACCAUACGUACCAGAAGCUGUAGUCAGCGACGAGGUGAGAGAACCAUUUGAAAUCGAUUCACUGUGUCUGUGUGCCCCAGCUGUCGUCUGUGGAGGAAGAGAGAGAACAGCGUGAACGCUAAGAUACCGAGCUGUGAAGAGAGCCAUACCUACCCAGAAGCUGUAGUCAGCGAAGAGGUGAGAGAACCAAUGAAAUCGAUUCACUGUGUCUGUGUGUCCCAGCUGUCGUCUGUGGAGGAAUAGAGAGAACAAGUGUGAGCGCUGAGGAAACGAGCUGUGGAGGAAAGUCAUACUUACCAACGAGCUGUAGUCAGCGAAGAGGUGAGAGAACCAUUGGAAAUCGAUUCACUGUGCCUUUGUGUCCCAGCUGUCGUCUGUGGAGGAAUAGAGAGAACAAGUGUGAGCGCUAAAGAAACGAGUUGUGAAGGAAAACCCAUACUUCCCAAGAAGCUGCAGUCGGUGAAGAGGUGAGAGAACCCUUCUGAGAUCGAUCCACUGUGUCCUCGUGUCCCAGCUGUAGUCUGUGGAGAGAGAGAACAGGAAGGGAGAGUGAGUCGACAAACAAGGAGCUGUGUGAGAUAGGCGGCGAAGCGCGGACAGGAAAAAAGUCAAUACCAACACUGAUUGUAAUUUGUUCUGCCUCCAGGAAGGAAGAGGAGUGCGCCACGGGCAGAAGGAACCAGAGGCGGGAGCCUGUUCCUCGACGCAACCCCCCCCACCCUCUGUCACUCAUUCGGCCGUGGCCCCCUGGAGGGCAGAGCCUGACAUUAGUUUUAAUUUCCCUUUCCCCAAGUCCCAGUACAUUUUAAAUAUUUAAAUAAAUAAAGAAUGUUUUUUUAUACUUA